AGCUUUCAUCAAAAUUGUGAGGUUCAAAUUAAAAAAUUGGGAAAAACUUUAUUAGUAAACUAGAAAGCUUUCGUGAUUACAUUAGAUAUAUUGGACAUGUUAAGGUAUUGAAGGAGACUAAAGAGGUAUAUUAAUUUUUAGUGAUUUUUUAUGAGAAUUGUAUUUUGUUUAUUUUAUGUUAUUUAUAUUUUGAUUGUAUUGUAUUAUUUAUAAACUCCAUUUAUAUUUUGAUUGUAUUCUAUUAUUUAUAAACUCCAUUUAUAUUUUGAUUGUAUUGUAUUAUUUAUAAACUCCAUAUAGUCUUGUAAUGGAGAUCGAUUUCGUGAAAGAUAGAAUUCAGGGAAUUUUUUGAGACGAGGAAAUUUUUUCUCUUAUCUUCAAAAGAGAUAAGAAAUAGAUUUGAAAACGCAAUAGUCAUCUAUUAGAUUUAUCUCUCUACAAGUUUUAGAGACUGAGGACCAUUUCUACUGGGAUCCGAUUGAAACUAGGAAGUAAGUGAAUUUUAGUGGGUUUCUUUUUUUAUAAAAAAAAGAAAAAGAAUCAAAGACUUAAUAUUAGGAAUACAGUUUCUGUCACUAAGUUUUGAAGAAGAUAAAAUGACUUGUUUUUGUUGGUGGGCAAACAAUCUCUUUCUAGAAUCUAGACAUCCAUCAUAAAAGAUAAUUUUUUUUUAAAAGAAUUAUUUGGAUUCUCGUCGUCCAUCAAAAAGGAUAAUAGAUUUCAAUAGCAUUGUUUACACAGUUUUCUUUUUUUGUUAAUUCAACAAGAGAGCUACCUAAUCUCAAAACCAUGGAGACCAGAGAGAAACAGAGAAACACUAGCAAGCUCAAGUAAACUAGCAAACUGAAAAGGUCCUUGAACAAAACAUUGAUACCUUAAUUGCCCCUUUUUGGUGCUGAUUAGUGUAUGCAAUUUGGGCGGUCCAACUCCGAACCAGGCGGUUAAAGGCAUUAGCCCAUCUGGUUUUGGUGAUCUGACCAGAUAUUAAAAAAAAAAAAAAUUAUCCCUAUAUGUUUCCUAGAGAGACUUCCCAUUCCCCACCCCUCCCUAUAUGGAGGGAGAUAUUAGUUGUGAAAUCCAAAUUUUCUAGUUUCUUAGAGACGGAAAGCCGGAUGGGUGGGUACAUGUAGAGAGAUAUCAGUUGUAAAAUUCAAAUUUUCUAGUUUCUAAGAGAUGGAAUAGUUUCUUAGAAACAGAAAGAGAGAGUGGGGGUGGACCAUUCCUUGAUUCCUCGCUUUCUUUCCUUCAACUUUAAUAAUCAAAUCUCUCCACUUUGUAUAUAUUUUAUAUGAUACAUAAAUACAUUUUGUUUGUAAAAAUCUAUGACUUUUUUACUUAAAGAGCAAAGGUGAAAAAACAAUAUCUCAACUUCUUCUCUUUGCCUAUCCCUGUCUCUCAUUUUUCAGGUACAGCCGAGUGAACGUGAAGAAAGAAUAUUUAAACUUCUUCUCUCUAUACAUCCUUAUCUCUCAUUUCUUAGGUACAGUCGAGUCAACUCAGGAAACAAAGAUUUUCAUGGCUGAUUUUAUUGUGAAAGAGCAGCUGAUUUCAUUGUGAAAGACCGGCUGAUUUCAUUUUAUUGUGAAAGAGCCAAACUGAUUGAUUUCAUUGUGAAAGAGCCAAAGAAACUGCUAAACUGCUUACCAUGUGAUAGAAAUUGAUCGGAAAUUGUUGGUGAAGCACGCUACCACCCUCUCAAUGGCAAAGAGAGUAAUCUUUUGCUUCUGGUGUUCAAGAAUCUAAUCAUUCCAAUCAAACCAUCGCAAUGUAAGAACAUGCAGAAAUUGACCGAAUUCAACAGCGUGAUAACCAACGCAGCUCCUUGCCGGUAUCCGAGCAAAUCCCACUCACUUGGUUCACUUGAUAAAGAUCAUUUUCGCGAGACAGCUCAUUCUUGGUCUUCUUAAUUACGAUCUCCUUAACUCUUGGUCUUCUUGAUUACGAUAUUCUUAAGUCAAAUGAUUCUCCAUAGGCCAAGGCCUUAUAUAUCAAUAUGAAGGCAUUUCAUUACUAAUGCCUAGCCCUCAAUAUGAAGGCAUUUCAUUACUAAUGCCCGGCCCUCUUACUAAAAGUUUGACUUAUGUGAUCUAGCCGGUGCAU
This 2100-nucleotide long non-coding RNA is filed under the name Amborella trichopoda. RNAcentral's name for it is "long non-coding RNA (ATRI_LNC004112)". The record is from RNAcentral. Lineage: Eukaryota; Viridiplantae; Streptophyta; Magnoliopsida; Amborellales; Amborellaceae.